AAUAUUUCGAAAAUUAUGAUAUUUUGUCCUCUUUUAUUAUAGUGAUUUUAUAAUUGUGAACAGAUGACAACUCGAUGGCUCGCUGUGAGAAUUUAAUCGAUCGAUCGUUGAUGAUCGUAGCAAAUGAAUAAAUAGGUAGACAAGCAUCAACUUUUCAGCUGCCCGAUCGUUCACCUCAAUUGUCAACCGAACCAUCGGGAAUACAAUCGAUAAAAGCUUCAAACUUAACUCGUAAUUUGUUCACCAAAAAAAUUGAUUCGACGUUAUCACGCGCGUCGUUCGAACAAGAAAGAAACUACUGGAAGAUUCCAUGAAUGCGUUCACGACCAACGAAAGCUGGCAUCGAUCGAAUCUUCGACCUUACACGGUCGUAGUCGAAUAGACGGAAGUGGACACGGCGCCAUUUGCGGAGGACGCCGUAUCCUCCUUUUGUCAGCAAUUCGUCGUUGCUGCUGAGCUCUGACGAAGCAUCGCCGAAGAAAUUUCGUUACUUUCCAACCACCUGGCGACUUCCGGUGGCAUCUGCGGUCGGACAUGAGAUUUUACCUGAGUUACACCCGCCUCCACGUUACCGUUCUGCUUGACGCCUCGUUCCAUAAGGGAACCGAUCACAGCCUCGGCGCUACAAUCCAAAAGCCUUUGUCUGCACAUCGCGAUGGCCCUGACGAAUCCGUCGCUGGGAGUGAUGAACCGAUGUUCCAUGAAUACGGACUUCUCAUCCCAAUAUAUUAUCUGCAAAGAUACAUGCCACGAAAACAUCGAAUGGUUAAAUAGGCAAAGUUACUUGUAAUAACCUUAUGGGCGCAAUUAACUCUUCUCCUUUAUAAUGGAAAAGUGUAACCGGUUUUGAUUUGAUAUUCCACUUGCACCAUGAUAAAAGUGAUAGCGAGAAUACAUUUUGGAUACAAUGCGUCAUAUGAUCAUCGGAGUGCAUACAAAACUAUAGUGGCGAAUACUUGGACAGCUUCGACUCUCUAAAAUAGUACCAGCAACGAUUUGCACACUAAGUGUCAACAAGUUCGUUUCCUUCUCGGUCUUACCGGUUUUCCUAGAAGUUAUCGAGAACAAAUGCUGAUAAUCGACCGGAUACCGAGAUCUCUGUGUCGAAGAAUCGUAAAAAUUUUCUAUGGUUUCUCAAGUCGAUCAGACAGAGAACAACGAACGUGACUUUGUAAUACGAUUUUACGUGAUCAAACUCGCAUACCUUAGAAGUUAUUUUGAAGAUGGACAGAGGUUUCAGGAAACGGCGAUAACGAAUGGUCGACGCUCCUUGUACGACGCCCGAUCCUUGCGAGCAGAUCUCGCGAUAGAGGCUCGUCCUUUCGUAAAAAUCCGCCCUGGCGAAAUCGAUCUCGCGAAGAUAUCUCGCAUUGUUCAUGUGAUAAAGUAAUGUGUCCACGUCCGUCGUCGUGCAAAUACCUGCGAAAAGUAAACAUUAGUACAACCGUGGAAGUAAAUAGAAUGAGAUAAACGAUGAUUAUUCUUUUAUUAUGUAUGUUUCAAAGACCAAAAGGUUAAAGUUAAAUAUGAAUUUUCGAAGGGUGAUGUCAUGAAUUGUUUUUGACACGCAAUUGCAAAACGCACCUUGCGAUUUUCCAUGACGGUCAAGAGAAUUAAGGAUGCAUGAUUUCAACCUAAUAAUGACUAACCGCAAUCGCGUAUCAUGCCUCCGAUUAAAAGAAUACUUUAGAAAACUUUUCUGAUUUGAACUAAUACGAUUAAAAACAAUUAAUUGGAGAUUUAAGAAGAUAAGAUGGAAUAUAUGGAACAGGGAAUGAUGAAAAGGUUGUUUGAAUCGAGUCGCUACAAGGACAGAUAAAUAAAAGAUCAGUAUUUGCUAGAAUAUAAUAAGCAUAUUAAGUAACCCAAGAGUUUAAUAUUCUUUGUUUGUCUCGCGUGUCAUGUAAGUCCUGACAAAAGUGUAUGUUCUUUCGUAGAUAAUUUCUGGAAUUCAGACCACCGUGUAUAGGAUGAAAACGUUACUGAAAGAAAAGACGAAUACUGAUAAAAUACGUUGCAAAAUUUACGUCGUUUACAUUUCGAUCUGUUGGUCCAGCUUUGUAGAAUUUCGCAGCACAGUACUGCACAAUCAAUACUCGUACGGAUUUGCGACACGAGCAACCGACCGGCCAACUGAUCGCGCAUGGGUUAAGCAGCCAACAUACCGUAAACGGUGGUCUCAUCGAGGAUAUGAACCUUCUUCUUGCAGAAACGUGCAAGGAACACGGUCAAGCACAUACGCAAGAAAUAGUGAACUUCUAUUAGGCCAUAGAGCAGCACGAUAGCUCCAGAUACACCAGCCAACACCCAGCAGGUUAUCAUCAUGAUGAAGUUCGCGAUUCACAGGUCCUCAAAUUCGAACAGGAGUAUGAUCCCCGCGUGGUCAGGCUUUGGAAUUCCUCCACCGUCGGGAAGCCACACUCCACUUUAUCGAUUCGUCGUCGAUUCUGACUGCGUUUCCUGGCUCGCUUCUCGCCGAUGAAAAGCCAAGUUGCUCGAUUAGCAUGUCAAAGGAUCGUAGGUGGAUCGACGCACCAUGACGAUCAACAUUAGUUCCAAAUACAUCGGUACAUGCCGGACGACCAUUGAACGCAUCAAGAGAUAAUGCAGCCCGUGUCCGGCCUUCUUUUAUAUACGAAGCACCUCGUACCUGAAAUGCCAGAAGCAAUACCAUUUAAAUACUCAGACAAAAAGUAUCGAGUGUCACGUUUUCAUGGAGUACGUUUCUCAUUGUAAUUGUGCACAUGGAAUAUUCCACUCGAGUCGUGCGAUACGACGUUUUUAAUGCUAGGAAGCAAAUGUUCAAUAACAAGGGACAGAAGCAAGACAGUGAUUAUCUCCUUCUUGACAACGAUCACUCUGCGGAAGAACUCGGCAGGCGAAGCACUUUGGAAACUAACAAAGUAAUAAAAUGUCCGAAAUGUGCACUCACUAAUUAACAGUGUAAAUAUUAGGAAUACGAGUUUGGUAUGAUCACGCGAUGCUUUCCUGCCAAGUGGCAGGGGAUCGUUGACGAAUAAG
Long non-coding RNA from Bombus pascuorum, 3021 nucleotides. RefSeq lists it as uncharacterized. Lineage: Eukaryota; Metazoa; Arthropoda; Insecta; Hymenoptera; Apidae. The record is from RefSeq and is a predicted model, not a curated record. The transcript is spliced from 4 exons.